CAGGAGCCCAGGUUGCAGAGGCUGCGGCUGCCGAAGCCCGUCAGCCCCCGGUAGCAGGACACCCCUCGGAAAACAAAAUGGUCACAAGACUCUAAGCUCCCUCCCCUCGCCAUAUCGCACAAGCCAGUCCUGCUGGCAGCCUGCUUUGAACAUCUCCUGUGCCUUCUUGUCCGAAGUUGGUGGCCAGAAGAGGGCAGCAAAUUCCCACAACUGGCCUGGUGGCAGUUCACUGUGGCAGAAGCAGAAAAGGCCAGGGAUCUGCCUGCGGCUGGCUCUGGUUUCCAGAGCUUUGGAAGCUGGAGACAGUCCCUGAUGCUCCUGCAUCCACCUGUGGUUGGUUCUGGAGUGGCUGAACUGCUGACAAAGCUACUGUUCAUUGAUAAACAGACACCAAGCCCACCACCAAACUGAAGCAAUCGUGCCCCCGCCCCCCCCGCGUGCCAGGUUCAGUGCUAAGCACCUUGGAUUGCCAUUGCCUGUCAUCCCCACAACUCUUUGAGAGACAGGGUCUCCUCAUAUUACCCAGGCUGGUUUCGAUCUUCGUGCUCAAGUGAUCCUCCUGCCUCAGCCUCCUGCAGUGUUGGGCUACCGGCAUGAGCCACGUGGCCUGACCUCUAUUGAUUUUUGAGUAUAUCUCUUUGUAUUACUUUUUAGUGGCUACUCUAGAGAUACAACAUAUGUAAUCUACUCUUUCACAGUCUACUUAGAGGUAAUAUUUUUAUCACUUACAUUGACCUUCCUCCUUUUAUGGGAUAGUCAUCGUAGAUAGUUCAUCUACAUAAAUUAGAACCCCACCAACAGUUCCCAUUUUUAUUUUCAAUAGUCAUGUGUCUUUUAAAGAAUAUAA
Molecule: long non-coding RNA, 847 nt
Organism: Cebus imitator (Panamanian white-faced capuchin)
Lineage: Eukaryota; Metazoa; Chordata; Mammalia; Primates; Cebidae
Exons: 3
Source: RefSeq, a predicted model, not a curated record